GACGAACGCUGGCGGCGUGCUUAACACAUGCAAGUCGAACGGAAAGGCCCUGCUUGCAGGGUACUCGAGUGGCGAACGGGUGAGUAACACGUGGGUUAUCUGCCCUGCACUUCGGGAUAAGCCUGGGAAACUGGGUCUAAUACCGGAUAGGAGCCAUUUUUAGUGUGAUGGUUGGAAAGUUUUUUCGGUGUAGGAUGAGCUCGCGGCCUAUCAGCUUGUUGGUGGGGUAAUGGCCUACCAAGGCGGCGACGGGUAGCCGGCCUGAGAGGGUGGACAGCCACAUUGGGACUGAGAUACGGCCCAGACUCCUACGGGAGGCAGCAGUGGGGAAGAUUGCACAAUGGGCGCAAGCCUGAUGCAGCGACGCCGCGUGGGGGAUGACGGCCUUCGGGUUGUAAACUCCUUUCGCUAGGGACGAAGCUUUUUGUGACGGUACCUAGAUAAGAAGCACCGGCUAACUACGUG
Molecule: ribosomal RNA, 465 nt
Filed under: uncultured bacterium
Lineage: Bacteria
Description: partial 16S ribosomal RNA
Rfam family: Bacterial small subunit ribosomal RNA
Source: RNAcentral